RNAcentral lists this ribosomal RNA (468 nucleotides) under uncultured bacterium. RNAcentral describes it as "partial 16S ribosomal RNA". It matches the Rfam family "Bacterial small subunit ribosomal RNA", at positions 28 to 507 of the family's 1533-position model. The record is from RNAcentral.
GACGAACGCUGGCGGCGUGCUUAACACAUGCAAGUCGAACGGAAAGGCCCUGCUUUUGUGGGGUGCUCGAGUGGCGAACGGGUGAGUAACACGUGAGUAACCUGCCCUUGACUUUGGGAUAACUUCAGGAAACUGGGGCUAAUACCGGAUAGGAGCUCCUGCUGCAUGGUGGGGGUUGGAAAGUUUCGGCGGUUGGGGAUGGACUCGCGGCUUAUCAGCUUGUUGGUGGGGUAGUGGCUUACCAAGGCUUUGACGGGUAGCCGGCCUGAGAGGGUGACCGGCCACAUUGGGACUGAGCUACGGCCCAGCCUCCUACGGGCGGCAGCAGUGGGGAAUAUUGCACAAUGGGCGGAAGCCUGAUGCAGCAACGCCGCGUGCGGGAUGACGGCCUUCGGGUUGUAAACCGCUUUCGCCUGUGACGAAGCGUGAGUGACGGUAAUGGGUAAAGAAGCACCGGCUAACUACGUG